RNAcentral lists this ribosomal RNA (677 nucleotides) under uncultured archaeon. RNAcentral describes it as "bacterial SSU rRNA". It matches the Rfam family "Archaeal small subunit ribosomal RNA", at positions 321 to 999 of the family's 1478-position model. The record is from RNAcentral.
CCCUAUGGGGUGCAGCAGGCGAGAAAACUUUGCAAUGUGCGAAAGCACGACAAGGUUAAUCCGAGUGUUUUCUGCUAAAGAAAUCUUUUGUCAGUCCUAAAAACACUGAUGAAUAAGGGGUGGGCAAGUUCUGGUGUCAGCCGCCGCGGUAAAACCAGCACCUCAAGUGGUCAGGAGGAUUAUUGGGCCUAAAGCAUCCGUAGCCUGCUUUGUAAGUUUUCGGUUAAAUCCAUGUGCUCAACAUAUGGGCUGCCGGGAAUACUGCACAGCUAGGGAGUGGGAGAGGUAGACGGUACUCGGUAGGAAGGGGUAAAAUCCUUUGAUCUAUUGAUGACCACCUGUGGCGAAGGCGGUCUACCAGAACACGUCCGACGGUGAGGGAUGAAAGCUGGGGGAGCAAACCGGAUUAGAUACCCGGGUAGUCCCAGCUGUAAACUAUGCAAACUCAGUGAUGCGUUGGCUUGUAGCCAGUGCAGUGCCGCAGGGAAGCCGUUAAGUUUGCCGCCUGGGAAGUACGUACGCAAGUAUGAAACUUAAAGGAAUUGGCGGGGGAGCACCACAAGGGGUGAAGCCUGCGGUUCAAUUGGAGUCAGCGCCAGAAAUCUUACCCGGAGAGACAGCAGAAUGAAGGUCAAGCUGAAGACUUUACCAGACAAGCUGAGAAGAGGUGCAUGGCC